AUUAAAUAGAUUUUGUUGUUGUUGAGUAAAUCCCAUGACAACAGCAGAAGCGCUUUGCUUUUUGGAACCUGAGAUAAAAGGAGCUUCCAUUUUGAGUUCUGUGUGUGCUCUGAUUGGUGGAGAGAGAUCCACUUUGAUCUUUGUUGAUAUUUUUGGAACCUCUGAUGACAGCAGCUUCAUUCUGUAGUGGUUGUGGUUCUGUGUGUGCCUCUGAGCUACGCUUUAAACUGCGGUAACUUUCUCAGCAGCAGCAUCAGUAGUAAGUGAAAAAGUUUUAAAGCUUCAUUAGAGUUUGAACUUCAAAAAGAGAAGAUCAAAGCAAAUUAAGGAUUCAGAGGGCUUGAACCAAUAUUUAGUUUUUGAGAUUUGCACCGAAAAUGGGACAGGCUCCUCCCACAUCCUCAUCCAAACAAAACCUGGAUUUCUGUGAGCGUCUGAUAAAUGAAUUAGACGAUCUGAACCAAAACAUAAUCAUGGCAAAAUCUGAUAUACUGAAGAAAUCAGAGGCUAAAGAAAGUUAUUUAAUGGCCAAGAUCAAAGAACAAGAAGACCAACUGGGUCUAUACAGAGAGAAGUUCCAGGAAAUGCAGGAACACUUUGAAGGGAAAUUAAAGGAGGCUCAGGACAAGUGCAGCUGUCUCACUGAUGAACUAGAGCUUUCCUACGACCAGUGCAGAACCCUCACCUCUGAGCUCAUGGAGAGCAAUAACCAGUCCGCUAUGCUGUCUUCACAACUGGAGUUCUAUCAGAACCAACAUAAUCUGUCCAUCCCAAACGACAUGGAGUCCAAUUGCCAUGAGAACAUGUGUGUCCCCAGCACAGACACGUUUGACCUUGUCUGGAUAACACAACAGGUGGACAACAAUGUGUGUGUCACACAAGAUCCUUAUGAGUUCUUAAUACCAGUUUACCAAGGGCCCACUACCAGUAUGGUGGACUACUCUCAGCUCCCUCAGCAAUUGAUACCAACAUACAAGUAUCUAGGUGACGAUACGGUCUACUAUGGUCAGCCAAUUCACCCAUAUUACCCAGACCCCAAUACUGUUUGGUUCAACAACUACGAGCCCACACCAGAUGGACAGUUCUACACAGUGAACCCAGACUUCCAGUACCUUGUGUCUGAAUUCUCCCAAC
Molecule: long non-coding RNA, 1134 nt
Filed under: Gouania willdenowi (blunt-snouted clingfish)
Lineage: Eukaryota; Metazoa; Chordata; Actinopteri; Blenniiformes; Gobiesocidae
Description: lncRNA (ENSGWIG00000004618.1)
Source: RNAcentral